Long non-coding RNA from Cornus florida, 2633 nucleotides. RefSeq lists it as uncharacterized. NCBI's taxonomy places the organism in Eukaryota, Viridiplantae, Streptophyta, Magnoliopsida, Cornales, Cornaceae. The record is from RefSeq and is a predicted model, not a curated record. The transcript has 7 exons.
CAGAAAAUUUAAAAUAAAUGAUACCAAAUUCGCCUUCAUUCGUUGAUCACGGCAACCGCGGCGGCGGCGGCGGCCGCCGCCGCCUAGUUUGCGUUGGUGAAAGUGAAGGGGACGAUGUUUCCGUAGACACUGUUUCUUGGGUUCCUUCUUGGGAUUCUGACGAUUGAUGCGGUCGAAGCUCUUGAAGUCCCUCUUUGUGAUAGACCGAUUGAAUCGAAGAAUCAAAGAAGAACGCGAAAAGGCGGCAUCUAAAUCUCAUCCAGAACUCCCUGGUGACCUUGAUCCCGAAUUCUCUUUCAAUCUAUUCUUCUUAUCGCAACAAGUCAUGUUCAAGCAGAAAAGUUGCAGGAAUCAAUUAAUGGGCCUAACUAACCGUCCAUUCUUGGGAAAAAUUUAAUGGUUUGAAUGUUGUUGACAGAUAAGGCCCAUUUGCUUCACAUUAUCCAUUUCCUUCACAUUGCUCCUUUACCAUUGAGAACCCUAGCCACAACACAAGCAAUAGCGCUACCCCAAGCAAUGACGGAAUGCUUCUGUCGGACGUUCAUCCGCCGGCAACUAGAACAAGACCAUACACAGUAAGUCUGCAACACGAUCAGACUCUCCCAUCUUAAUCUGAUCUUAUGUUCUCUCACCUGAUAUCAACGGUGGCAAGUUUUCUUCGAUAUCAGAAAGAGAUUAAAGAGAUAUGGUGUGUAGAUCGAAAAUUUGGUGAUUUCAUCCACCGAUCAAAUGGUCAGGUGAACUCAAGGGAAAUUCAGUGCACAAUGCUCCCGCUAUUGCGGGGUUUAGAAUGGUCAGAUGUAUGCCACCUUACUUUCGCAUGCGAAGAGGCUGUUUCCCGUUUCGAACCCAUGAUCUCUGGGUCAAAAUAAUGCAACCUUACGGUUGCACAAAGGUCCACUCUCAGAGUGGUAGAGAUCAUCAUCCCGGGACAAUGUCGACUUGUUCAGAGAAGAUGACAAUGCCCACAAAUGUGCAGAGCUUUCUACAUUCUGCAACACCAACUGUACCUUUAAAAUGCAUUCCUUAGAGAUGUAUCCCAGUUGUAAGGAUACAAUUGAAUAUUUCACACUGGGAGGCCUCUAUUUGAAGAAGGAACUGAUUUCAUUAGAGCUGAAAAUGCUAGAUUUAAAAGAGGAAGCAGGAUAAGACAGCCAAGCUUAUUUCUGUCACACUUCCCAAACACAAGUGAAUGUUUUGGGAUGAUACGGACUUCCCAAGAGGGGUCAGUUCCCAGAAGUAUGAAGAAGAAGUGGAAGUAGAAAGAUUAUUGCACCUGAACAGUUUCACCAUUUGAGAUUUUAAGCAUCUCUCUCUUCCAUCUCUCCGAGAUUGCUUCUGCAGUUUUGUACUUUGAAAAAUUCAAUGUAGGGUCAUUGAGCAUCAGUUCCCAAUUCCCCUGCCCAUGCCUUCGUACACCAACCCAAAGAGCAUCAAGUUCAUCUUUGAACCACGCUUCUACCAUUAUUUGACCUUCGCACAAGCUGUCUGGCUGUGCCUUUGUUGUCAUCUUAUCAUUAUUACCCAAAUAUUCAUUUGUUGUACGGUAUUCUUUACUCCUGCUUUGCCCAAAAAAUGGUGUUUUGAUGUCAGGUCUCACGAGAAAGUGCUGAGAACUUGUACCAUUGUAUUCAAAGUUUGAAGAACAAACUUGCCCCAAGCUUGUGCCAGUUCCUCUAUCUGAUGUGACAAAUGGCUUGUAGAAUUUCCCAUCUUUUCCUGAAACCAUAUUUGUAACAGGUUCUUUGGGUUGGAGUGUGGGGAACUGAAGGGGUAGAACAGGUUCGGUUAGGCUUGGAACCAAAUCAAGUCGCUCACUCAUGUUUCUCAAAGCAAUCUGUUCUCUGUGUCUUGCAUGAAGCUUGGCACUGUUGGAAGUUAUAUCAGAAAAUGUGCAUCUUAACCCAAUAGCGUCAGCAAACAUCCUAUAAAUUCAGAAGUUGCAAGUUUUCUUUUAUAGCUUGGCUUUUAGGUGUAUAUUUGAGAUGGAAUGCUAUAAAGAAUGGAGUGCAUUUGGUGUUGGCAUCCCAGUGGUGUUGAACAAUGGCGAGAAUGUUGUGCAGUACCAUGUGCAUUAUCUACUCGCCAUUCAAAUUUACAUCAACCAAUCCUCUGCAACUCAGGAAUACAAGAGAGGAUUCUGAUCUGGCAGAAUGUGAGAGUGAGUCUUGGAGUGACAAUAGUGAGGGUGAUAAACUGUCAGGGUCUCUAAGCAACCACUGUUGCAAGAUUUGGGAUUCCACUUCUCUGGAUUCACGUUUUGACCAGGAUGGUUCCUGUCAGAAAGAUCGCCUUGGCUCUCUACCUUCAGUACCAUGAAACGUGUUCGCUGUACCGGAGGAUUCCACCGAUAGACAAAGUAAAUAUUAUGUCUUUUAUAUUAAUACAUUGUUUGUUUUAUUUUAUUUUAUUUUUAUUUUUAUUUUUAUUUUUAUUUUUAUUUUUUUUAUAACUUUUUUGUGUUUCCUACUGUUGACAUGUAAACUGGGAGUGAAUUAAUAAUCUUUAUUUAUAUAAGUGGGUGGGAUGGCUGAUGAUUUAUGUAACCGACCCCAAGUAGGAAAAUGGCUUGGUGAGUUGAGUUGUACAAACUCUUAUUAGCGAAUAAUUUCCUGUUUGGUUCGUUUGAUUUA